This is a long non-coding RNA of Lycium ferocissimum, 542 nucleotides long. RefSeq lists it as uncharacterized. NCBI's taxonomy places the organism in Eukaryota, Viridiplantae, Streptophyta, Magnoliopsida, Solanales, Solanaceae. The transcript is spliced from 3 exons. The record is from RefSeq and is a predicted model, not a curated record.
CUACUUCUUCCUUACUCUGCAAUUUUCCUUCACUACUGCUUCAAAGUGCUAUCUAUCUGUUUGAAAAAGUAAAGUUCAAUUCAGAUAAAGCCUGAAGGAAACUCUAUUGCUAUUGGUGACACUGUACUGUCCUAAAAAAUCUGCUGAUGUUUCUGGGAAAUAGAACUGAAGGACAAAAAUAAGCCCACAGAACUAAAUUCUAUGGACAUGGAUGUCACUGGCUUCAUUCUAUAAACGGGAGAUGAGGCAUUGAUUUAUUCAACACCAGCUUAAUUUGGUCGAGAAAAAGGAUGAAAAAAGUAAACAAGUUUACCAAGGUUCGUGUAUGAUGAUUACAUAAAGUUAUAUUCUGGAGGGAAGCUCCAAGCUGAAGAGCCAAGGUGGGAAGCGUAGAAGGCCAUGUAAGUUUAUGUAAAAGUGAUCCAGUUGCAACUGCUUUGAUUCAAAUUCAAGAGGAAUAAUGCAGUGUGAAAAGAAACUAUAUGUUCUUGAAACUCUAUAAACGUAGAACGUAUUAUCUGCCCUUCUUUUAUAUGGUAGAA